AUUAUGGCUCAGUGGUAGAGUGCUUGCCUAGUACAUGUGAGGCACUGGGUUCGAUCCCCAGCAUAACA
Molecule: transfer RNA, 68 nt
Filed under: Marmota monax (woodchuck)
Lineage: Eukaryota; Metazoa; Chordata; Mammalia; Rodentia; Sciuridae
Description: tRNA.Thr
Source: RNAcentral